This 691-nucleotide long non-coding RNA is filed under the name Homo sapiens (human). Its description in RNAcentral is "HSALNT0256790". Lineage: Eukaryota; Metazoa; Chordata; Mammalia; Primates; Hominidae. The record is from RNAcentral.
CGGCCACAGCUGGGAGCCGGGUCUGCGCUAGGAGACCGUUUCCUCUCAGAAGCUGUAAUUAUGGAGGCCUCAGAACUGGGCGUGGAGGACGUGCAGCUGCAUGAGGCUCACUGCUGGCUGGGCUCCUCCAUCCCUCUGCUCCUUAUAAAAGAGGCCCCAAGAGCUCCCCUGCUCCCUCUGCUGUCUACUGAGGACACAGUGAGAAGACGGUCAUCUGCAAACUAGGAAGUGAAUCUGCUGGUGCCUUGAUCUUGGACUUCCCAGCUUCCGGAACUGUUGUUCAUAAGCUACCCCAGUUUACGGCAUAUUUGUUAUAGCAGCCUGAACAAACAUUUGGAGACAUCUGCUCUCUACCCAGGGCUGCUCCCACCACAGGGCCUUUGCACAUGCUGUUCCCACUCCUGGAUGCUGUUCCCCACAUCCCUUCCUCCUUACUCCCUAAGGGGUUCCUUGAUCAUCCCAUUGAAAAGUUGCUUCUGCGGCCAGGCUCAGUGGCUCACGCCUGUAAUCCCAACACUCUGGGAGGCUGAGGAGGGUGGAUCACCUGAGGUCAGGAAUUCGGGACCAGCCUGGCCAACAUGGUGAAACCCCGUCUCUACUAAAAAUACAAAAAGUUAACUGGGCAUGGUCCCAUGCGCCUGUAAUCCCAGCUACUUGGGAGGCUGAGGCAGGAGAAUCGCUUGAACCCGGG